This 750-nucleotide ribosomal RNA is filed under the name Priestia megaterium. Its description in RNAcentral is "bacterial SSU rRNA". It matches the Rfam family "Bacterial small subunit ribosomal RNA", at positions 51 to 782 of the family's 1533-position model. Lineage: Bacteria; Bacillati; Bacillota; Bacilli; Caryophanales; Bacillaceae. The record is from RNAcentral.
AUACAUGCAAGUCGAGCGAACUGAUUAGAAGCUUGCUUCUAUGACGUUAGCGGCGGACGGGUGAGUAACACGUGGGCAACCUGCCUGUAAGACUGGGAUAACUUCGGGAAACCGAAGCUAAUACCGGAUAGGAUCUUCUCCUUCAUGGGAGAUGAUUGAAAGAUGGUUUCGGCUAUCACUUACAGAUGGGCCCGCGGUGCAUUAGCUAGUUGGUGAGGUAACGGCUCACCAAGGCAACGAUGCAUAGCCGACCUGAGAGGGUGAUCGGCCACACUGGGACUGAGACACGGCCCAGACUCCUACGGGAGGCAGCAGUAGGGAAUCUUCCGCAAUGGACGAAAGUCUGACGGAGCAACGCCGCGUGAGUGAUGAAGGCUUUCGGGUCGUAAAACUCUGUUGUUAGGGAAGAACAAGUACAAGAGUAACUGCUUGUACCUUGACGGUACCUAACCAGAAAGCCACGGCUAACUACGUGCCAGCAGCCGCGGUAAUACGUAGGUGGCAAGCGUUAUCCGGAAUUAUUGGGCGUAAAGCGCGCGCAGGCGGUUUCUUAAGUCUGAUGUGAAAGCCCACGGCUCAACCGUGGAGGGUCAUUGGAAACUGGGGAACUUGAGUGCAGAAGAGAAAAGCGGAAUUCCACGUGUAGCGGUGAAAUGCGUAGAGAUGUGGAGGAACACCAGUGGCGAAGGCGGCUUUUUGGUCUGUAACUGACGCUGAGGCGCGAAAGCGUGGGGAGCAAACAGGAUUAGA